UUUUUUCAGGUUUUCGAAGUUAAACAAUUAAGGACCCUUAAUCCUUAUUAUCCAUUAAAGUUUUACUUAUGGUUAUUCCGAUUAAAGGUAUGAUCCUUGACUAUUUUGAUUAUAUUCAUUAUCCUAACCGACCCUUAUACUUUGACAACCAAACCUAUGAUCCUUGAACUAAAAUACUUUGAAUAUUUUCAAUAUCAGGAUAUUUGAUCUAGGAUCAUAUCCUAAAUUUAUUAAAUAUAUUUUCAACUCUUGCCACUUUAACAAAUAUACUACAAAAACAACUAAGAAACAAGAAGAUAAGGAUAACAACACGAGAUAAGCCAGAAAAGUUAAAGUUAUAUUAUUAAACAAAAGGAUCAUUAACCCUUUCAAAAAGUUGUCAAAAUUGCCAACCCACAUUUCUACCAGCAAAACGUGGCCCGUCCACAUGGGUUGGCAAAGGGUGUCCAUUG
This 452-nucleotide long non-coding RNA is filed under the name Helianthus annuus (common sunflower). The record is from RNAcentral. Lineage: Eukaryota; Viridiplantae; Streptophyta; Magnoliopsida; Asterales; Asteraceae.